This is a long non-coding RNA of Pan paniscus (pygmy chimpanzee), 2207 nucleotides long. NCBI's taxonomy places the organism in Eukaryota, Metazoa, Chordata, Mammalia, Primates, Hominidae. The record is from Ensembl.
UUUUGAGUUUUGCCCAGCAUUUGGACUCUAAAGAAAUGCUCCAUAUGCAUUUGAAAAGUACAUGUAUUCGACAGUUGUGUGUGUGUGUGUGUGUGUGUGUGUGUGUGUGUGUAGGUCAACGUAUCUAUUUAUACAUUUAUUUAUAUCUAUUUAUAUUUAUAAAUUAGGUAAAUGUUAUUAGUAGUGUUGUUCGAGCCUCUUAUGUCUGUAUUAACAUUUUGUCUGCUUAUUUUAUCAAUCAGAGGAAUGUGUUAAAAUCUCCCACUUUGUUCAUGAAUUUUCCUGUUUCCUCUUUUAGGUGGGUCAGAUUUCGCUUUAUGUAUUUUGAGAAUUUGCUUUUACUUCUGCAGGCAGUUACGGGGAUUGGAUCAUCCUGACCCAAUGAGCUGACUUGAAGCUGGAUCUUUGUAAGAGCUGGUCUGUUCCUAUUCAUCCUCCCUGCUUAAUAUUCCAAAACAUAAGAUUGUUCAUACAUGAACAAUACUUCUUGCAUAUCUACUAUAUACUAGGUACUAUAAUAGGUGCUGAAUCAUCUGUGUUAUUUUAAGGGUUAUGAAGAGAAAACAACUGUCUCUGAGAAGGAAUCACCACCACUAAGAGACUAACCUAUGAAAAAGCAAGGGCUAUGGAUCAAGUCUUCUUUGAAGUGCCCUGUGCACUUCAUGGUUCUGGAGAGAAUUAGAAAACUUCCAGGAGUUUCCAAGAAUGCUGAUAUCCAGUUCACCACUUUACCCACUGGUGAGGAGAAGAAAGUCAAAGGAAACCAUAUGUCUAGACCUUGGUCUCCACUGGUGACCUCUGUCCACCUUGACCCUUUCUCUAUCAGGCUUGGCUGCAACCCUCCAGGGCAUCUUAUCACUGUUUUAUUGGAGUUGGAACGCGGCUGGAAUUGGAGUACAAAUUUCCUUCAGCAAGGAAAUGCUGGAGAAACAAGAGCAAGUUAACCUCCAAAUGGGUUCCAAGGCAACCGCUGUGUUGAAAUUUCACUUGGGUUCCCCUGGCUCUUUUUUACCUGCCUCUGCCAAAUUGUUGAUGCCCUUGCCUGUUGGAAAUGGAUGACUUUGAACAACGAGGGGCAAGGAGCCUCUCUUUUACUUCAGAACUACUACAGCAAGAAUUCAAACUCUUUGUUUUUGAGAAAAUAGCUCCUAAUGCUGUGUUGAUUUUAUCGUGUGCUUCAGAAAAAGACCCUUAAGGCUAAUUGAUAUGAACAUAUAGAGGCAGGCUGAGCUUACUAGAAUUUAUAUUACCUGAUGUGUUAAGCAUCAGGAAGCUAUUUAUGCUAGCCUAUAGCAGCAACCCGUUGUAUUUAGUGUGUUUGUGUGUACACACAUACCUGUGUAAAUCAAAAUGAAAGCUUGCUUUUGUGAUCUAGCACAAGUUUUGCCAUAUCAUAUAUACAUUUUUAACUUUUGGAAGCUAGAAGACAAUUGAUAGGCAUUUAACACGAAGAAAACAUGCAUUUAUAGUCAAUAUUAAUAGAAUAGAUGGUACUAAUCUAUAACAGUGAAAAAUAAAGAAGGUAGAGGAAGGAGGACAAAGACAGAGAGGAGACAGGGGGGAAAGGAGAAGACAGAAAAAAGAAAACAUCAAAACAAGGACUGCUCUGAGAGCCACAACUGAGUUUUAUGCUUCUUGCUGUCAUCUUUCUCUAACCUUAAAGGGCAGAAAGCAAUUGGGAGAACUAACCUGCACUUAGAUUUCAGCUUCCAUAGGAUGUUACAUUCUCAGGGUCUAUUAAAUCGAUUGGACUUUGACCUUAGCUUCCACGAAGUCCUUACCUUUUGACUGGGGCUGAGAGGUCUGAUUUAACCUCAUGGAAUUUGUAUUUUUUGGAGGAACUCCUGCCUCGUCCGUACAUGGUGAAACCCCCAACAGCAGCAUUUUUAAUUUCCAGAUUCUCAGCAGACACAAUGCACAGACUGUAGAAAACACCUGCUCAUCCGGACCGCUCAGCUCACAGGCUCCUUCCUCAGGGGAGCAUCUGAUGCUCCAGACAAGGCAGACCCUCUUCUUAUACUCUUGUGACCUCUUAGACUUUUCUUUUGUAGCACUUACUCCAGACUCUAAUCAUAUAUUUAUGUUGUGAUUGUUUAUGCAAUGGUUUUCUUCCUAACUAGGCUCUGAGUUCCAUGAGAGUUGCAAUGUCUUCAUCCCUUACCCUUGUUGAUAUACUGCACUGUGCCCAGUACCUAAGUAAUUGCUCA